RNAcentral lists this ribosomal RNA (526 nucleotides) under uncultured bacterium. Its description in RNAcentral is "partial 16S ribosomal RNA". It matches the Rfam family "Bacterial small subunit ribosomal RNA", at positions 899 to 1397 of the family's 1533-position model. The record is from RNAcentral.
ACUCAAAGGAAUUGACGGGGACUUGCACAAGCAGUGGAUUAUGUGGUUUAAUUCGAUGGUAAACGAAGAACCUUACCAGGGUUAGAAAUCCUCAUGAAAGGUCCAGGAAACUGGAUCCCUCGCAAGACUAGAGGACAGGUGAUGCAUGGCCGUCGUCAGUUCGUGGUUUGAAUUGUACCCUUAAGUGGGCUAACGAACGCAACCCUUGUUGUGUGUUACAAGUGUCACACGAGACUGCCCCCGCAAAAGCGCAGGAGGCGAAAAAUUUUCGCUUCGUGAAUUUUUGUGGGGGAGGAAGGAGAGGAUGACGCCAGGUCAGCAUGUCCCUUUGAUACCCUGGGCUACACACAUAAUACAAUCGCAGUUACAACGCGAAGCGACGGGGCGACCCUGAGCCAAUCGUCCAAAAACUGCGCCAGUUCGGAUUGGAGGCUGCAACUCGCCUCCAUGAAGCCGGAAUUGCUAGUAAUCACAGGUCAGCUAAACUGUGGUGAAUACGUUCUCAAGUCUUGUACACACCGCCCGU